UGCGUCGGCCGGGAAUCGAACCCAGGUCGCCCGCGUGGCAGGCGAGCAUUCUACCACUGAACCACCGAUGC
RNAcentral lists this transfer RNA (71 nucleotides) under Cordylochernes scorpioides. RNAcentral's name for it is "tRNA-Gly". The record is from RNAcentral. Lineage: Eukaryota; Metazoa; Arthropoda; Arachnida; Pseudoscorpiones; Chernetidae.